RNAcentral lists this ribosomal RNA (447 nucleotides) under uncultured bacterium. RNAcentral describes it as "bacterial SSU rRNA". It matches the Rfam family "Bacterial small subunit ribosomal RNA", at positions 355 to 825 of the family's 1533-position model. The record is from RNAcentral.
UAGGGAAUUUUCCACAAUGGACGAAAGUCUGAUGGAGCAACGCCGCGUGCAGGAUGAAGGCCCUUGGGUCGUAAACUGCUUUUAUGAGUGAAGAUUUAGACGGUAACUCAAGAAUAAGGGACGGCUAACUACGUGCCAGCAGCCGCGGUAAGACGGAGGGCGCAAGCGUUGUUCGGAAUUACUGGGCGUAAAGCGCGGGCAGGCGGUCUGUUAAGCCGUUUGUGAAAAUCCGGGGCUCAACCCCGGAAAUGCAUACGAUACUGGCAGGCUGGAGACUGGUAGAGGCUAGCGGAAUUCCUGGUGUAGCGGUGGAAUGCGUAGAUAUCAGGAAGAACACCUGUGGCGAAGGCGGCUAGCUGGGCCAGUUCUGACGCUGAUCCGCGAAAGCGUGGGGAGCAAACAGGAUUAGAUACCCCCGUAGUCCCUGAGCGGGCUGGCAAGGCGCAU